AUCCUGGCUCAGGAUGAACGCUGGCGGCGUGCCUAACACAUGCAAGUCGAACGGAGUUAAGGGAUAUUUCGAAUGGAACUUAACUUAGUGGCGGACGGGUGAGUAACGCGUGGAUAACCUGCCUCGCACAGGGGGAUAGCAGCUGGAAACGGCUGAUAAUACCGCAUAAGACUACAGCACCGCCUGGUGCAGGAGUAAAAGAUUUAUCGGUGCGAGACGGAUCCGCGUCUGAUUAGCCAGUUGGCGGGUAACGGCCCACCAAAGCGACGAUCAGUAGCCGGCCUGAGAGGGUGAACGGCCACAUUGGGACUGAGACACGGCCCAAACUCCUACGGGAGGCAGCAGUGGGGAAUAUUGCACAAUGGGCGCAAGCCUGAUGCAGCAACGCCGCGUGAGUGAAGAAGUAUUUCGGUAUGUAAAGCUCUAUCAGCAGGGAAGAAAGGCUCGAAAGAGAGAUGACGGUACCUGACUAAGAAGCCCCGGCUAACUACGUGCCAGCAGCUGC
This 505-nucleotide ribosomal RNA is filed under the name uncultured bacterium. Its description in RNAcentral is "bacterial SSU rRNA". It matches the Rfam family "Bacterial small subunit ribosomal RNA", at positions 16 to 518 of the family's 1533-position model. The record is from RNAcentral.